UUACCAGGUCUUGACAUCCCGAUGCUAUUCUAGAGAUAGAAAGUUACUUCGGUACAUCGGUUGACAGGUGGUGCAUGGUUGUCGUCAGCUCGUGUCGUGAGAUGUUGGGUUAAGUCCCGCAACGAGCGCAACCCCUAUUGUUAGUUGCCAUCAUUCAGUUGGGCACUCUAGCGAGACUGCCGGUAAUAAACCGGAGGAAGGUGGGGAUGACGUCAAAUCAUCAUGCCCCUUAUGACCUGGGCUACACACGUGCUACAAUGGUUGGUACAACGAGUUGCGAGUCGGUGACGGCGAGCUAAUCUCUUAAAGCCAAUCUCAGUUCGGAUUGUAGGCUGCAACUCGCCUACAUGAAGUCGGAAUCGCUAGUAAUCGCGGAUCAGCACGCCGCGGUGAAUACGUUCCCGGGCCUU
RNAcentral lists this ribosomal RNA (410 nucleotides) under uncultured Streptococcus sp. RNAcentral's name for it is "bacterial SSU rRNA". It matches the Rfam family "Bacterial small subunit ribosomal RNA", at positions 971 to 1382 of the family's 1533-position model. The record is from RNAcentral. Lineage: Bacteria; Bacillati; Bacillota; Bacilli; Lactobacillales; Streptococcaceae.